AUUUUUUUGAAAAAAGGGCUUGCAUUUGUAAAGCAAAUAUGGUAUUAUAAUUAGGCACUGAAAAAUAAAUAUCGCGGGAUGGAGCAGUUUGG
This 92-nucleotide non-coding RNA is filed under the name Clostridium sp. CAG:169. RNAcentral describes it as "Staphylococcus sRNA 774". It matches the Rfam family "Staphylococcus sRNA 774". Rfam says of the family: Northern blot transcript confirmed in exponentially growing and stationary cells in three cultivation media. Trans-encoded. The record is from Rfam by way of RNAcentral. Lineage: Bacteria; Bacillati; Bacillota; Clostridia; Eubacteriales; Clostridiaceae.